UCCGUAGGCGGUUCAAUAAGUCAGUGGUGAAAGCCCAUCGCUCAACGGUGGAACGGCCAUUGAUACUGUUAGACUUGAAUUAUUAGGAAGUAACUAGAAUAUGUAGUGUAGCGGUGAAAUGCUUAGAGAUUACAUGGAAUACCAAUUGCGAAGGCAGGUUACUACUAAUGGAUUGACGCUGAUGGACGAAAGCGUGGGUAGCGAACA
RNAcentral lists this ribosomal RNA (207 nucleotides) under uncultured bacterium. RNAcentral describes it as "partial 16S ribosomal RNA". It matches the Rfam family "Bacterial small subunit ribosomal RNA", at positions 568 to 774 of the family's 1533-position model. The record is from RNAcentral.